This 217-nucleotide long non-coding RNA is filed under the name Nicotiana benthamiana. RNAcentral describes it as "long non-coding RNA (NBEN_LNC021194)". The record is from RNAcentral. Lineage: Eukaryota; Viridiplantae; Streptophyta; Magnoliopsida; Solanales; Solanaceae.
GCGAAGAAACAGAGUAAGAGGCUUCUAUAAUGUGCGAUUUUCUUCUCCUUCUUAUCGAUUGAUACAAAUUAUAUACAAAAAAAGUUAUAACUCUUCUAUGCAUACGGCAAGCUUAACAGUUUUGUUGCGUCAUUCUGCAAAGUCAAACGAUGAGGGCAAUUAUAUUGACUUUUCCAUUGAGGGAAUAAUGAUUAAGGAGUAUGCUUCCUUUAAUGAU